RNAcentral lists this ribosomal RNA (467 nucleotides) under uncultured bacterium. RNAcentral's name for it is "partial 16S ribosomal RNA". It matches the Rfam family "Bacterial small subunit ribosomal RNA", at positions 355 to 833 of the family's 1533-position model. The record is from RNAcentral.
UGGGGAAUAUUGCACAAUGGGCGAAAGCCUGAUGCAGCAACGCCGCGUGAGGGAUGACGGCCUUCGGGUUGUAAACCUCUUUUAGCAGGGAAGAAGCGAGAGUGACGGUACCUGCAGAAAAAUGCGCCGGCUAACUACGUGCCAGCAGCCGCGGUAAUACGUAGGGCGCGAGCGUUGUCCGGAAUUAUUGGGCGUAAAGAGCUCGUAGGCGGUUUGUCGCGUCUGCUGUGAAAUCCCGAGGCUCAACCUCGGGCUUGCAGUGGGUACGGGCAGACUAGAGUGCGGUAGGGGAGACUGGAACUCCUGGUGUAGCGGUGGAAUGCGCAGAUAUCAGGAAGAACACCGAUGGCGAAGGCAGGUCUCUGGGCCGUUACUGACGCUGAGGAGCGAAAGCAUGGGGAGCAAACAGGAUUAGAUACCCUGGUAGUCCAUGCCGUAAACGUUGGGUGCUAGACGUGGGGCCUUUC